GACUCCGUGGCGCAACGGUAGCGCGUCCGACUCCAGAUCGGAAGGUGCGUGUUCAAACAUGUCGGCGUCA
This is a non-coding RNA of Ciona savignyi (Pacific transparent sea squirt), 70 nucleotides long. The record is from Rfam. Lineage: Eukaryota; Metazoa; Chordata; Ascidiacea; Phlebobranchia; Cionidae.